CCUCCCAAAGUGCUGGGAUUACAGACGUGAGCCACCAUGCCUGGCCAAAAUUUUUAUUUUUUAAAAAAAUCAGCCAUAAGGUAAAUCAGAAAGCAAGAACCCUACCCCACUAGGAGAGGAAAUCAGAUUAUUCCAAUUCUGCCAUCACAGCGGUUCUUUUAAGGAGAACGGUGUUUCUCUGGGCCUUGUAUCUGAUACAGAAUGGAGUGCAUUUUUCCCAUAACUACUUGUUCCAUUUGGAAAACGUGUGUUUGAAAAAGAAGUGAUGUGAUGAUAAAGAAUGAUAUGUUGCUUUAUCAGCAAAUACAGAUCACUCUCUAGAUGCCUCUUCCUUGAAUAUGCUUCUACUCUUAUAAUACACUCUUUUGCCACAAAUAGUUGAGGAAAAUGUUUCUGGUGGAAGGCUUGCAUAUGGUAGGAAUGCAGAGAGUAUGUGUUGGCUGAGCAGCUGGAUGAACAGCCACAGAGGGAUCUUUUGAAAAAUUACCUUUUUCUCCCAUGGCUAAUUGCACACGGACGGCUGAGUGAUCACUCCAGGCCCCAACAGUCAGCCGGCCAUCCGACAAGCCUCAGUCUUGACUUCUUAAGGCAUCAAUUUCUCUGAGGAGCCUUAGACUGUCAAAUUUGAAAAAAGGGGGAGAGUCUCUGAGAUAAAGGAGGUUGUGCCUUCUCUGUCUUUGUUUGUUGGAAAAUGCCUGCGGCCUGGACCCUCAAAGGCUAGGUGAGGGAGGUGGGCUCCUGGGUCUGGUUGCUGACCCGGGGGCUGCCCUCUGCCCCGGCGCCUCCGCCGGUGUCCCCGUCAGGGCGGCUCCUGAAUGAAGCAUUCUUCUCCUGCCAGAAAUCGUUUUAAGAUGGCAGAGUGGUGCCUAGGUGGCGAGUGGUUGUUUUUAUUUUUAUUUUAUUUUGUUUUUUAAGUGAAAGCACACGGAGUCUAGACAGCACGGGUUGAGGGAACCCGCCGUAACAUACAGUGUAACAUUGUUCCUGUCCUUUGAGGAAAGUAAGGACCCUCCAAACUCCAAGAGAGGAGAAGAAUCAGACUUCUGUUUCUAAAGAAAAGUCAUCUUUACCUUUAGCAGUUUCAGACUCUUUCUGGAAUAUUCAGCCAGCCUACCGUCUCACACCGCUUGCUUAUCAAACCACUUGCUUAACUCCGUAACGUGGUUGUUGCAGAGGACAUAAGGGUCUCCAGAGAGAGUGGCGUUACCAAGCAGAGUUUGAUGCCUCACGUCCACCAGUGGGUCUCCCCUCCUGGCAGGGAGCUCCAGCCAGCUCUGCCCCUGAACCUGCCUGCCUGCCUGCCUGUCGGGGUCAUCUGCACCUGAGCUGCGAGUAUCCCCACGGCUAUUCAAGUUUUCCCCAUCAGGGUUCCCAGCUGCUAGGAUCACGUGGCUGAAAAUGAAAAGGAAGUGUUCCCACACAGCCGUUUUCCCAUCUUCUUCUAACUGCCCCCUCUCCACGCACAUUUCUGGGUCCAGCUGUCUACUCUCUUGGCCUCAUUCUGGUUUCUUCCUCUCAUGGUGGAAUCCUAGGACUUUCUGAAUGUCCUGAACCUGCCCUCAGCUGCUUCCCGUGGUGAAGAGCAGAACAAGAGGGAAGACAGAGAAGGGGAGAGGAUGCUACCCUGGUGUGACCAAAGGUCAGACAACUGUGUUCACUGGAUGUUAAGUACAGGAGUCCUCUAGAUGGGUCAUAUGUCCACACCUGCCAGGUUUAUGGUAAUGUCACCCAUGGUCCUGAGGGAGAGGGGCUGGGGUGUUCACAUGUCCACCCCUCUGGUCACGCACAGGGGCAGGAACGAAUAUCCCGGGCACCUCUCUCUACCCCCAGCCCUGGGCUGAGAUGUGAUCAUGGUUCAGGGAGACUGUCCUCGUGGCAAUGACUGACAGGAAGAGCCAAAUGGGCCACCCCUUCUGCACAUCCCUCCUGUGCACCCAGCCUGUGCUCCCAGACUAGCAUCGCAUCCAGUGCCCCCAGAUGACUGCACAGAGCUCGUGCCUCAUCAGCCAUGGUGUCCCCCUGCUGAGCUGCUGUCUCCAAUGCUGCCCCAGUGGCUGGCAUCACAGCCCCUGCCUGCCCCUGAGUCAUGCUCAGGCCCAAAGGCACAGAAAGGCCAUCAGCACAGCACAGUGAGGGCUGCAGAGGAAGGAGCUGGGGCCACGAUGCCAGACCCACCAGACGCAGUCCCUUCAGGAGGCAGCUCCGUCACUUAAAAAAAGGCCAUCUAUGGUGUGAAAAGGACUAGCCAAAAGGGGACCCCAAGUGAUACUCUGGCAUUUCUCAUCUGGACAUUGCACAUUUGGGGACUGUGGGGUUUGAGCCUGUCUCUGUCUGGAUCCACCUGAAAGAUAAGAAGAAGUCCCUGGAAGGGUGGAGAAAAUGAGGAGAGAGGGGACCUCAGAUAGGGCUGGGCCUGGGUGAGAAUCAAGGAGCCAGGUCCCCUGCUCCGAGGCACCAUGGGAUUGUGCUCGGCAGUCUCUUUACUGCCUGGUGUUUACCCUACCCUAGAACAAUCUGAGCCCCAGAACCGAGGUAGUGAUGUCUGAACCACCUCUGCAGGAGCCCACAUGGGGUAGGGCCCAUCAUAGGCAGCUUUCAGGAAAUGCUAAAUCUACAUGCAGAGGCAAGAGGAAAUCACUUGAACUGAAUGACAGCUACUGUUAGCAAAAGCUAGUGUCCUCCAGGAUAGCACUGGAUGAAAGUGCGAGCUGUGCCUGGGCCUCUGUUGUGAUCAUCAAACUCAGAGACCAGAGGCAUGUGACCUACUCCUGGGCACAAAUGGUUUCCGUCUGUUUAGAACCUUUGUCAAUUAAACAAAGGUACGUAGGAUCAGUACAUAGGAUCAUGACCAGUGGCAUCUGCCUGUGCAAAAUGAUUUUAAAAUCUGUGUGUAUUAAAUAGAGGGAUAAAGUUGAUAUUUUUAUAGCUUUUCUUUCAAUGAAAAA
Long non-coding RNA from Cercocebus atys (sooty mangabey), 2945 nucleotides. RefSeq lists it as uncharacterized. The transcript has 2 exons. Lineage: Eukaryota; Metazoa; Chordata; Mammalia; Primates; Cercopithecidae. The record is from RefSeq and is a predicted model, not a curated record.